AUUGAACGCUGGCGGAAUGCUUUACACAUGCAAGUCGAACGGCAGCACGGGGGCAACCCUGGUGGCGAGUGGCGAACGGGUGAGUAAUACAUCGGAACGUGCCCGGUCGUGGGGGAUAACGUAGCGAAAGUUACGCUAAUACCGCAUACGAUCUGAGGAUGAAAGCGGGGGACCUUCGGGCCUCGCGCGAUCGGAGCGGCCGAUGUCAGAUUAGGUAGUUGGUGGGGUAAAGGCCUACCAAGCCGACGAUCUGUAGCUGGUCUGAGAGGACGACCAGCCACACUGGGACUGAGACACGGCCCAGACUCCUACGGGAGGCAGCAGUGGGGAAUUUUGGACAAUGGGCGCAAGCCUGAUCCAGCCAUUCCGCGUGCAGGACGAAGGCCUUCGGGUUGUAAACUGCUUUUGUAUGGAACGAAAAGGCUCUGGCUAAUACCUGGGGCUCAUGACGGUACCGUAAGAAUAAGCUCCGGCUAACUACGUG
Molecule: ribosomal RNA, 484 nt
Filed under: uncultured bacterium
Lineage: Bacteria
Description: partial 16S ribosomal RNA
Rfam family: Bacterial small subunit ribosomal RNA
Source: RNAcentral